AAUUUCCAAUGUUGAUUUUGCUAGUGGACGAACCUGGUAGAUCUAUAUAUAUUCACUAACUACUCAACAUCCAAAAUAAGAAACUUCUUUAAGAAUAAUUGAAUAGAGUUAUGUUGGUUUAACGUAUUUAUUGAAGGCAUAUAUUCAGGAUCCUACCACAUUGCUGUGAUCCCAAUGAUACGGCUUCACAACAACCUGAAAAGAUGGAUACUUUGCCUUGUUGGCAGCUUCAAGAGCUUGAGAAGAGGUCCUUGAACAUGAAUGUGGCCUUCUGACUUUCCCAUUAUCAUUCUUUUUGCACCUCGAUUGCGUGAACUUCCAAGAUCGACGUAGGAAUGUUGACUUUUCCCCCAUUUUCUUGCAUUGUGAC
RNAcentral lists this unclassified non-coding RNA (370 nucleotides) under Hevea brasiliensis (rubber tree). Lineage: Eukaryota; Viridiplantae; Streptophyta; Magnoliopsida; Malpighiales; Euphorbiaceae. The record is from RNAcentral.